UAGGGAAUCUUCGGCAAUGGACGAAAGUCUGACCGAGCAACGCCGCGUGAGUGAAGAAGGUUUUCGGAUCGUAAAACUCUGUUGGUAGAGAAGAACGCUGGUGAGAGUGGAAAGCUCAUCAAGUGACGGUAACUACCCAGAAAGGGCGGCUAACUACGUGCCAC
This 164-nucleotide ribosomal RNA is filed under the name uncultured bacterium. Its description in RNAcentral is "partial 16S rRNA". It matches the Rfam family "Bacterial small subunit ribosomal RNA", at positions 355 to 511 of the family's 1533-position model. The record is from RNAcentral.